RNAcentral lists this ribosomal RNA (294 nucleotides) under uncultured bacterium. RNAcentral's name for it is "partial 16S ribosomal RNA". It matches the Rfam family "Bacterial small subunit ribosomal RNA", at positions 775 to 1067 of the family's 1533-position model. The record is from RNAcentral.
GGAUUAGAUACCCUGGUAGUCCACGCCGUAAACGAUGUCUACUAGUUGUGCGGUGGUCUUGUACUGCUGGUAACGCAGCUAACGCGAUAAGUAGACCGCCUGGGGAGUACGGCCGCAAGGUUAAAACUCAAAUGAAUUGACGGGGGCCCGCACAAGCGGUGGAGCAUGUGGUUUAAUUCGAAGCAACGCGAAGAACCUUACCUGGCCUUGACAUCCUGCGAACUUUCUAGAGAUAGAUUGGUGCCUUCGGGAGCGCAGAGACAGGUGCUGCAUGGCUGUCGUCAGCUCGUGCCG